CCAGACUCCUACGGGAGGCAGCAGUGGGGGAUAUUGCACAAUGGGGGAAACCCUGAUGCAGCGACGCCGCGUGGGUGAAGAAGCGCCUCGGCGCGUAAAGCCCUGUCAGCAGGGAAGAAAAUGACGGUACCUGAAGAAGAAGCCCCGGCUAACUACGUGCCAGCAGCCGCGGUAAUACGUAGGGGGCAAGCGCUAUCCGGAUUUACUGGGUGUAAAGGGAGCGUAGACGGCAGUGCAAGCCUGGAGUGAAAGGAUGGGGCCCAACCCCAUGACUGCUCUGGGAACUGUACAGCUAGAGUGCCGGAGGGGUAAGCGGAAUUCCUAGUGUAGCGGUGAAAUGCGUAGAUAUUAGGAGGAACACCAGUGGCGAAGGCGGCUUACUGGACGGUAACUGACGUUGAGGCUCGAAAGCGUGGGGAGCAAACAGGAUUAGAUACCCGCGUA
RNAcentral lists this ribosomal RNA (444 nucleotides) under uncultured bacterium. Its description in RNAcentral is "bacterial SSU rRNA". It matches the Rfam family "Bacterial small subunit ribosomal RNA", at positions 331 to 792 of the family's 1533-position model. The record is from RNAcentral.